GUUUCGCCAAUGGUAACAUCUCAUGUAACUCCAGUACAACAUCAGACUAGGAAAUUGACAUGGGUGCAGCCUACUGACUUUAUGCAGAUUUCACCAGUUUUAAUUGCCAUCUCUGGUACCGCCAAAAGCCAAAGAGAUCAGGUAAUGCAAUACCAAAGACAGCAGAGUUUUAGACUUGAGAAGAACCUGUCCAUAACUCUUCAGACGCCACAGGAAGACAAAAGAUUCCCAAAAGGUGAGCAGCCAGACUGACUUCCUGCAUGAAGUCUCCGGGCUCUGGUUUGCAAAGCUGCGUCUAGAGUGGCUGCUGUCUGCUUCUCCAACUUAGUCUCCCGGCACUCAGUCUCCACUUCAUCACUAUGGAGCUA
Molecule: long non-coding RNA, 368 nt
Filed under: Papio anubis (olive baboon)
Lineage: Eukaryota; Metazoa; Chordata; Mammalia; Primates; Cercopithecidae
Description: lncRNA (ENSPANG00000038240.1)
Source: RNAcentral